Molecule: ribosomal RNA, 499 nt
Filed under: uncultured Glomeromycotina
Lineage: Eukaryota; Fungi; Glomeromycota
Description: partial small subunit ribosomal RNA
Rfam family: Eukaryotic small subunit ribosomal RNA
Source: RNAcentral
CCAAUAGCGUAUAUUAAAGUUGUUGUAGUUAAAAAGCUCGUAGUUGAAUUUCGGGAUCAAUAUGUCGGUCGUGCCUCGGUACGUACUGGUGUCAUUGGUUUCUCCCUUCUGAAGAACCUUGAUGUCAUUAAUUUGGUGUCUUGGGGAAUCAGGACUGUUACUUUGAAAAAAUUAGAGUGUUUAAAGCAGGCUCGCGCUUGAAUACAUUAGCAUGGAAUAAUGAAAUAGGACGUUUGAUUCUAUUUUGUUGGUUUCUAGGAUCGACGUAAUGAUUAAUAGGGAUAGUUGGGGGCAUUAGUAUUCAAUUGUCAGAGGUGAAAUUCUUGGAUUUAUUGAAGACUAACUACUGCGAAAGCAUUUGCCAAGGAUGUUUUCAUUAAUCAAGAACGAAAGUUAGGGGAUCGAAGACGAUCAGAUACCGUCGUAGUCUUAACCAUAAACUAUGCCGACUAGGGAUCGGAUGAUGUUGAUUUUUUAAUGACUCAUUCGGCGCCUUACG